RNAcentral lists this ribosomal RNA (477 nucleotides) under uncultured bacterium. Its description in RNAcentral is "bacterial SSU rRNA". It matches the Rfam family "Bacterial small subunit ribosomal RNA", at positions 19 to 518 of the family's 1533-position model. The record is from RNAcentral.
CUGGCUCAGGACGAACGCUGGCGGCGUGCUUAACACAUGCAAGUUGAACGGUAUGACAUGGAAGCUUGCUGAAGUGUCAUAUAGUAGCGGACGGGUGAGUAAUGCAUGAGAAGCUGCCAUUGGGAGGGGGACAACAGUUGGAAACGGCUGCUAAUACCCCGUAUGCCGGAGGGUGAAAGGGAGUAAUCCGCCCGAUGAGGUGCUCAUGUCCUAUCAGCUGGUUGGUGGGGUAACGGCCUACCAAGGCGACGACGGGUAGCCGGCCUGAGAGGGUGAACGGCCACACUGGAACUGAGAUACGGUCCAGACUCCUACGGGAGGCAGCAGUGGGGAAUAUUUGGGCAAUGGGGGCAACCCUGACCCAGCGACGCCGCGUGGGGGAAGACGGCCUUCGGGUUGUAAACCUCUUUUGUACGGGAAGAAGGAAGUGACGGUACUGUACGAAUAAGUCCCGGCUAACUACGUGCCAGCCGCUGC